UAACAGUGAAGAAAGAGGAAAAUGUUUUGUUGCUAAAAACAAUGUGUUUAUAUAAAUUAUAAAAAAACCCCUUUAAAAUUCAAGAUGAAAUGACAAGUUAACACCAUAGAAGAAAAACAUAUUUCCAAACAAAACAACAAACGUCUCAAGAACUUUUUUAAUCUGCUGCUGUUUCAGCUCUCACAGGUGCAGACGAUUGCCCCGUUAAAUGGUUUGUUGAGGCACACUAAAAUGCCAUAGAGACAACAACAGAUGGUCUGAUAUCGUACCUGUCAGCAGACAUGUGGGACGCUCUGCUGUGGAGCUGCUGAGCACGCGCAGACCUCCCAUGUUUUUUUGGAGUGGCCAUCAACUCAUUAACAAACAGACGCGCUGAUUCUUUCGCUCUAUAUCUUUGCACUGCUGGAUAUUAUUCUUCCUAUUACCUCUCAGAACUCCAAUCACCAGAUGUCCUGUGGAGAAACAAAGCUGCGAGACACAGUCAGAAAUGGAAACAGCACAGAGAAUGUCAAUUUCCUCCAAUCGGCUCAGAGGGCAGGUUUUUUUCCUGCAGGGGGAAGAUUAGGUUGAUGUCAAACCUGAGGUCCAAUGAGUUUAAAUGUGCUGAAGCCAGCUUGGGUGAAUCUGAAAAUGCACUGAAUUCCCUACAAAGAAGCUCUAAAAUAUCAGUGUCAACCUAUUUCAGUUCACCUACAAUCCUGCGUUAUGGGUAUAUUUACAGUGUGCAGCUGCUAGUGAUAUUCCUUUUAGUGUCAAGUCAGCCGACAGUGACUCUGAGGAUGCCAAGCGUAUCCAUCAGAAUCCAUUAGUCGUCUGUUACUAAUUACCAGUGACUCCAGGGUUGAUUAAAA
Molecule: long non-coding RNA, 851 nt
Organism: Oreochromis niloticus (Nile tilapia)
Lineage: Eukaryota; Metazoa; Chordata; Actinopteri; Cichliformes; Cichlidae
Exons: 2
Source: RefSeq, a predicted model, not a curated record